CAGUAGCCACGGUAAUACGUAGGGGGCAAGCGUUGUCCGGAAUUAUUGGGCGUAAAGCGCGCGCAGGCGGUUUUUUAAGUCUGGUGUCUAAGUGCGGGGCUCAACCCCGUGACGCACUGGAAACUGGGAGACUUGAGUGCAGAAGAGGAGAGCGGAAUUCCACGUGUAGCGGUGAAAUGCGUAGAGAUGUGGAGGAACACCAGUGGCGAAAGCGGCUCACUGGACAAUAACUGACGCUGAUGCACGAAAGCUAGGGGAGCAAACAGGAUUAGAUACCCCCGUAGUCCCUGUCUCUUAUACA
This 301-nucleotide ribosomal RNA is filed under the name uncultured bacterium. Its description in RNAcentral is "partial 16S ribosomal RNA". It matches the Rfam family "Bacterial small subunit ribosomal RNA", at positions 509 to 808 of the family's 1533-position model. The record is from RNAcentral.